AUUGAACGCUGGCGGUAGGCCUAACACAUGCAAGUCGAACGGCAGCACAGUAGGAUCUUGCUCUUACGGGUUGCGGGUGGGGGGCGGGUUAGGAAUGCAUCGGAAUCUACUUGUUGGUGGGGGAGAAGGAAGGGGAACUUACGCUAAUACCGCAUAAGGGCUACGAGUGAAAGAAGGGGGUCUUCGGACCUUUCGGGAUUGAAUGAGCCGAUGUCGGAUUAGCUAGUUGGCGGGGUAAAGGCCCACCAAGGCGACGAUCCGUAGCUGGUCUGAGAGGAUGAUCAGCCACACUGGAACUGAGACACGGUCCAGACUCCUACGGGAGGCAGCAGUGGGGAAUAUUGGACAAUGGGCGCAAGCCUGAUCCAGCAAUACCGCGUGGGUGAAGAAGGCCUUCGGGUUGUAAAGCCCUUUUGUUGGGAAAGAAAAGCAGCAGGUUAAUACCCCGCUGUUCUGACGGUACCCAAAGAAUAAGCACCGGCUAACUUCGUG
This 492-nucleotide ribosomal RNA is filed under the name uncultured bacterium. RNAcentral's name for it is "partial 16S ribosomal RNA". It matches the Rfam family "Bacterial small subunit ribosomal RNA", at positions 30 to 507 of the family's 1533-position model. The record is from RNAcentral.